AACGCGAAGAACCUUACCAGCCCUUGACAUCCCGGUCGCGGACUCCAGAGACGGAGUCCUUCAGUUCGGCUGGACCGGAGACAGGUGCUGCAUGGUUGUCGUCAGCUCGUGUCGUGAGAUGUUGGGUUAAGUCCCGCAACGAGCGCAUCCCUUAAGCUUAGUUGCCAUCAUUAAGUUGGGCACUCUAAGUUGACUGCCGGUGACAAACCGGAGGAAGGUGGGGAUGACGUCAAAUCAUCAUGCCCCUUAUGAUUUGGGCUACACACGUGCUACAAUGGACAAUACAAAGGGCAGCUAAACCGCGAGGUCAUGCAAAUCCCAUAAAGUUGUUCUCAGUUCGGAUUGUAGUCUGCAACUCGACUACAUGAAGCUGGAAUCGCUAGUAAUCGUAGAUCAGCAUGCUACGGUGAAUACGUUCCCGGGCCUUGUACACACCG
Molecule: ribosomal RNA, 437 nt
Filed under: uncultured bacterium
Lineage: Bacteria
Description: bacterial SSU rRNA
Rfam family: Bacterial small subunit ribosomal RNA
Source: RNAcentral